CUCUCACAGUGUCUCGCGUCAAGGUUUGUCGAUGACUAAGUGCUUGGACAGCAUUUUUUGGGAAAUAGUAUGUACGAUGCUCACAAGAAAUAUUAUAAAAAUGGAUUGCUUGAUCUCGCUAUUAUUUUCAAUAUUUUAGAAACUCACAGGCAACCACAUCCACACACAUUACAAUGAGGGGAAGGGGGAAUCUGACUCUGGGGCCAUUCGCAGACCAGCCGGCGGGUAUAUAUACAAUAAACAGUUCACGACAGGGGGGUAAAGGAGAAAAGCUCAUAUAGCAUUCAAAACAUGGAAACAGGUACCUGGCAAAAAAGAGAGAGAGAAAGAAAAGAAAAGGAGAAGGAGAGAGAGAGAAGUUCUCUUGUCCUGACACCUCGAAUCUCCUCUUCAUCAAGGGCAAACGCCUGUCGAUAUCAUACACAGCUUUCAAAAACACCACUCACAACCCGAAAAUUGCAAAGGCAGCAACUACCAAUCCAGAGAGGGUUGCAGCAUGGGAAAUUUGCUGGGGUGCUGCGUUGCCUGUAGAUAUGAACGGAUCAGCGGUUUGGGUCGGUGUUGGCCUGCCUGAAGAAACGGUAGACGAAAUAGAUCCGUCGGAGGGGAGAGCUAUUCCGCUACCACCGUUGCCGCCAGGCGUUGGGUAUAUACCCCCGGUUGGGAGUGAGCCGCCGGUCGGGAGGGGUGUAGGGUUGUCGGCCCCUUCGCUGCCACCGCCGCUAGAACCUCCUUCUCCACUCAUAGCGAUGGAUCGGAAUGCUUCGAUGUUCUUAUCUUGUGCUUCAGGGCUAGAGGGAAGAGAAAAUAUGUUAGAAUAUUACAGACAACACUUCGCAGCGUUUAGAUGACAGAUGGGUUUGUCAAUGAAAGGUGGGGAAACGGAACAGGUAAACAUGAUACGUACGGAUUGAUAACCAUGACCAUGCCAUUCUGGCAAUGAUUUUUCUGGCCACAGAACAACCAUACAGGGCUGCUGUCGUUGAUCAUAAUCGUGAACACGGGCAUUUCUGUAGCAUCAGCCGACACGGGUAGGAACCCAGAUCGAAUACCUGUUCCGCCGCCGAUGGGCGAACAGGGGCUAUCAAAAGUGGACUGCGCAACGGAGUGAUUCUAUUAUAGAUAUGACGAUUAUUAGAAGCCUGCUUUCCCGAUUCCAGAGAGGAUAUUUCGCCCGGAUUUACAGCUUCUUACCGCUGGAUGGAACUGAAACUGGACCAUCGAGCCAGGUUCAGCCUUAAGAGAAUCCGGAUAGAACCUCUUGCUGCCUUCUGCAUUGCCAACUUGAACAGCAUGGACGGUAACCAUGCCCUCUGGCGACUGCCGUUUCGUCGGCGCCCAUCCGGCAAUGAUUUCGUCCUCGACUUGGGCAUAGAUUCCUGUUGCCAAAAACACAGUCGAUGCCAGCACUCCCCUGAGCAACAUUUUUGUCGAUGUGUAUUUUCUGUUUUGUCUAAUUUACGCUGGUAAACGGAUGGACAAUUUCCCGAUAUUGUAUAGGGAGAAAGAGAGGGGGAAAGCAAUAGAUAGAUAGAUAUAUAUAUUUAUAGAAUACAAGCGACUAGCGCUUUGAUGUUGUGGAAGUGAACGAGUGAAAAUAUGCGUAGAAGAGAAUAAAUAUAUAGAGAAUAUAUAUGAAGAAGCAAAAAUAGAAAAAAUUGAGACAGGAAGAAAAGAAAUCAGUUUUCGUCUUCCAGAGAGUGAUGAAAGAAAGAAUAGAGAGGAGGGUUGGAUA
RNAcentral lists this small RNA (1735 nucleotides) under Histoplasma capsulatum. RNAcentral describes it as "hypothetical RNA". Lineage: Eukaryota; Fungi; Ascomycota; Eurotiomycetes; Onygenales; Ajellomycetaceae. The record is from RNAcentral. RNAcentral also lists the same sequence under 1 other name.